This 1660-nucleotide long non-coding RNA is filed under the name Mus spicilegus (steppe mouse). RNAcentral's name for it is "lncRNA (ENSMSIG00000018711.1)". Lineage: Eukaryota; Metazoa; Chordata; Mammalia; Rodentia; Muridae. The record is from RNAcentral.
GGCCGGGCAUAGUCGCGGGCCGGCGGAGGACCGAGCGCGGGCGGUCGCCUCACAGCACCAUCGCGGCGGCGGCGGCUUUGUGGGUCGCAGGCUCUGCUGCGCUCCCCCGGCCGUCGCGCCGCGGCCCUUUCAUCUGCUCCACGUGAGGGGUUAUCCCCGCCCCCGCAGCGUCGUGACCCGCUCUCCCCUCCCUCCCCGCGCUCGGCCGCGGCCACCUCUGAAGGGAGCGGGUAGGCGGGGCGGGCGCGCCUGCGGCGAGAGGCGGGGCCCGGAGGCCUCGCCCGCCCCGCCCAAUCGACUGAGUCCCGCCCCGACUCCGUUCUUGGCCACGCCCCUCCGCCCUUGCUCCGCCCAGGUAGUCUUUUUUCGGUCACGCCCCUUCCUCUUAGCCACGCCCCCUGGUCUGUACUCCGCCCUCCGCGGCAGACAUUUCUCUUGGCAGUUGCUGGAGUAUGGGGAGAGUAAGGUCCUCAACCUGUUCCCGGGCGGUUUCGCCCCCUCGGCGCACCCUGCUUUGGUGCCGCAAUUAGAGUCACUGGGGCGUCAAAGGCCUCGUCCUUCCGUCCAAGGAUGCUUCAUCCGCAGCUCCGGCACUGCUGGCCACCCUCACUCGGUGCUCGCGCCCUACCACCUCCAGGGACCGCGAAAGGCCCCGGGCGGUCAGAGGCAGUUUGCAACCCGCCGGGACACGUCCAGUUCUUACCCCUGGAGACCGUCUCCAACACUCCCUUCAAAUCUCACCAUGUGCAGAAGGGCGGAAGAGUCAACACGCUUAAUGCACAGACUUCUGGUUGCCAAACAUACCAAAGACACGUGCUCCGAACCCAGACGUCCCCAGUCACCCAGAAGAUAAACUUUUAAUUCUCUUCCCCUUUUUGGAACAGGAUUUUUCCUUCCUCAGCAAAUCUACAAGACUCACAAUUCUCUUUUAAAAGCCACAUUCAAUUUCUACUUCCUCAGUCGUCUUCCCUCCCUGACCUGAAUGGCUUUGUUUAAAUAUUUGCAAAUAUUUGGUUAGGGUGAUCUGCUUCUACUUGCUACCACACCCAAAAUAUUAAGACAAAAAGAAAAGUCAUUGAGUGUUUCCUUGAGUAAUCAGAGCAUCGAGGUUACAGUUUAAACUGAAAAGGAAUGUUUUGCCAACGUGUUGAAUAGAAAAUACAAUUGAAAAGAAAUUCACAGAACUGUGUUACUGUGUUUGGACCACCCAAAGCUUUGGCACAGAAGGUAACUGACAAAGCUAGAGUCAUUAGUUUCCCCCAAGCCAAGUUUAAUCAGUACUGACUGCUCGGGAGCACUGUCAUUUCCAAGGAUUGUGACUUUACCCACUAAGGCACAGUCCAGUCUUUUUUUUUUUUUUUUUUUGGUUUUUUCGAGACAGGGUUUCUCUGUGUAGCCCUGGCUGUCCUGGAUCUCACUUUGUAGACCAGGCUGGCCUCUAACUCAGAAAUCCGCCUGCCUCUGCCUCCCCAGUGCUGGGAUUAAAGGUGUGUGCCACCACACCUGGCACAGUCCAGUCUUUAAGGGGAGAGCAAUUAUUAUAGCCAUGCAUAGCUAGCGUUGCAAUCCUUAGAAGUAUGAGGUCAUGAACUGGUGAAUGAAUAUGCAAAUAUGGUCUAUCCAUACAAUAAAAUCGAAUUUUUAACAUAGUAAAGUUUCA